AAAAGUUAUUUGUUUAAUUUUACGACGAUUAGAGUUCGUUGGCAAAAUACGCGAGGCCGCGAUACAUGCUGAUAUAUACGUCGUGCGUGCGGCUUGAUAGCUCGUACGUACACGGAGCAACUACCCAACUACGCGACUUGUUCGUUAUCUCCAUAAUUCCAUAAAGCUUUUCCGGAAAUUGAUCCUAUAGAGAUUAGAAAACUUUUUCCGAGACUCCACCCCUUCAUCUCUCUGAAGCUAUUCAUAAGCUGUUUCACUUACAAAUGUUAGAGUUUUGUCUGAGAACUACCGAUGAACUAUAUUAUUAAUUAGUACGGUUUCAAUGGUUCUAAUGAAAACGUCAUUUUCGUACUUGAAACCACUAAGCCUAUUAGCGCUUGGUAUAUUUAAUGCUAAUUAGAAACAUAACUGUGAAUCUGGAAAAGCAAAUUAGUUUUUUCGACUGAACAGUGAAUUUCGGAAGGUUCAACAGUUUCUGACUGACGUCAAAUUAUUCAAAUUCAUUGAUGAAGAAAAAAAUUUUAUUCAUCGACUCACUCAGCGUUGAUUAUGUCCUCGCUGAAUAAUUGGAAUUGUGCCAAGUCACUCAGCGCGACGGAGCUAAACGAACGAAUGAUUAAUCGCGACAUUUUAUCCAUAUUCCUGCAUUAUCGACGUCACGGGAAAAGUUUCACAAACGCCAGAUUGAAACGGAGUCGAAUGGCUGAUAUAAACUUACCAAAAUAACGAGUAUAACGGGUCCCACGAAACUGAAGAUAAAGUAGUUGUCAGCUCGUAGCCAACAGUAUUGAUCGGUGCCGUAGCUCAGUGGAUCGAUUAUACAUGAAAUAGCAACCACGAGUAACGGACCACCAUAAGCAACCAGAUAAUACCAUCGCAGACGGGACUUUUCAGCUUCGAAAACUUCAAUCAGCAUGACGUACAGUUGAAAACCUGGGAAGAGAAAAAUUGGAAUUGAGAGUCGAUUCACAUUCGACUCACCUUAAGACCUCGGAAGAGUUGGAACGUCAGGAUCGCGAGAACCAGACAGACAACGGAGAUGAUGCAGCCGAUAUACGUGAUGAUUUGUAG
Venturia canescens is the source of this 1071-nucleotide long non-coding RNA. RefSeq lists it as uncharacterized. Lineage: Eukaryota; Metazoa; Arthropoda; Insecta; Hymenoptera; Ichneumonidae. The record is from RefSeq and is a predicted model, not a curated record. The transcript has 4 exons.